GUUGCAGAAAAAUGGUUAAAAUAAGCAAAAAUUGGUUCAAAUUAUUAAAAAAAAAGAAAAUCAGUCAAAAUGUUUCAAAAAUAUUGGCAAUUAAAAAUGAAAAUAGGGAAAAUAUCCAACAUUUAUUUAACAUAGUUGGGAAUGAGAAACAAAAACACUAUUUCACAAUAAGACGUCAUCAAGAAUCAUGUUUUCAAGCAAUUGUUUGAUCAUUGCCUUGAAAAUUAAAUAAAUAAAUGUAUUUUGUGGGAAAAAGACAUAUUUUCAACCAAGCUGACGAUCGUCGUGGAAACUGUAACCUGUGUGUGUGUGUGUGUGUGUCCUCAGGUGAUGGAGAUAGACUUCAGUGGUUCUUUGUCCUCAGAGGGCAGGACUGGUUAGUGGGAGUGUAUAAAAAAUAAAAAGCCCUAUAAAAGCCAUGCAGGGCUUUAAUCUCCCAGUCCUCCCAGUGCAGCUGUUUAUCCACUCCAUCAUCAUGCUUGUUCGAGCUGUGCUGCAGACGUCCCUCCUCCUCUGGUUGGCUCAGCAGACUCUGCAAGGCGCUGUUGCAGGAGUCCAACCUCAGAGUGUGUCAUGGGGACAAGGACUGCCAGCUAGAGGUCUGGGUGUUGGAGUGAAACCUGGAGUGGGACGUUACGGCGGCGCUCAGCUUGGACUUGGAGGAUACAGGACUCUUGGAUUAGGAGGGAGAGCUGGUAUGAGACAUGGCGGCUACGGGGUUCAAGGAGUCUACGGUGCUGGUCUUGGUACAGGAAUGGGUCUAGGGACUGGACUCACGAACGGGCUUGGUUUGGGUUUGGGUCAGGGUGGAAAACGAGUCUAUGGGACUGGCCUGGGAACUGUACCUGGAUAUGGAGCUUUGGGAGCGAUUGGCUAUCCCGGGCUUCGUCCUGGACACUCACAGUAUCCCAGUGGACAAGGGUCCAAGCAGCCAAAAACGGGUUUGGGUCCAGCUGAGACGGACAACCUGAGCCAAACUGUUCCAGAUCUUAGGAGAGAAAGGAUCAGAGCUGGAGUUCCCACAAUUCGAAAACCAAACAAAGGGCUUGGACCUGAAAUUCAAGGUCUACUCAGGCCAAAUGUUCCUGAAUCGAAUUACCAGAGAGAGCGCAAAAGUAUUAAUUUUUUAAAUCGUGGUGAAUCCACGACUCCUCUUAACGUACACACCACACACCGUAGAGAAAGCCAUGAAUCUACAGCCCUUAAGAUUAAAGGUUUUACACCAGCAGCUGAAAGUGCAGGAAGACAACCUUCGGUUAAUCAAGAACCCAUCAGACGUACAACCUCGGCUUCUUCUCAGACACCGAUCAUCAGAAACAACGAUCGGUUCCCCCUUAUUAAUCUGCGACCUCCAAACUGUGGACCGUCCGUUCAUGGAUCUGAUAGAUCCGAACUUCUUCGGCAAAAACUUGUUGGUUCACAAAGUUCCGUUCCUCAGCUGAACGUUGGCGUAGUCAGUCAACAAAAUGCUCACAGAGAUCAGCAACUACUUCCACAAGAUGUGAGGAGCAAUAUGUUCUCUACUCAGAAGUCCAGAGGGUUUUCAUCCACAGUUAUAGACAGGCAUGGCAGAGAGGGACCUUUAAGUAAGGACGCAGAAGGACCUGGGACUCGUAGGACUUUUACUUUGGAGCAGCAUCCACAUGAGUCGAUCAGUCUUCCAAGAAGUGGAAAUCCAGAACCUCUGAUUCCAGGAAUCACCUCCAUCGCCGGCCUGGAAGUCCAGCCCUCGACCACAGAAGGUUGGGAUGUGAAAGAAUUUUCCCAAAGUGUGCAUGACGUCAAAAAGUUAAAAACUUCCCCAGGGCAGGAUGGAACGAACGCCAAGGGAACAAGUUAUGGUGGCGGAGUAGGAAACUACCUGGGAACUGGCCUGGGUGCUGGAGGCUAUGGAGCAGCUUUGGGACAAGGCGGCUAUCUGGGAGGAGCUGCUGGAAAACUGGCAGCAGGAUACGGAGAUGGAAUGACUGGAUAUCUCGGACCCAUGGCAGGUUACGGGAAUGGUUACGGGGAUGCUUAUGGAGCUGGGCUCGGUUACCCUGCAGAUUUAGCCGUUGGUCUGGAGAACAAAGCAGGGAAAAGUGAAGGCCUCGGUACAGGAGGAUUAGUUGGUCCCCUGCAGGGAGCGUAUGGAGGAGCUGCUCAGGUGCCUUUUGCCAACACUCCAGUCCUUCCUGUGGGACUAGAAGGUGAUGGUGGUUAUCCGUACAACACUCAGCAGCUCAGUUUGACCGCUGAAGCUGCCAAAUCUGCCAGUAAAUAUGAAGCUGGUCCAGGAUUCAGAGCUCAACAAGCUGCAGGUUUGUUGGGACCGAAUCAAGACGUCUUGGGGGAGCAGACCGGAAAAUAUGGCGGUGUGAACGCAGCCCUUGGUAACGGUUACAAAGCCUAAUACAAACAACCUGGAGGUCCUCAGCUGGAUGGUCGAGCUCUGUACUACGUUGAGUGUAAUUCGUUUGUAAGGCUUUCCCUCUGUAUGUUUUUUUUUCUAUUUUGUUUUACAGUAUUGUUUGUUCCUCACUUUGUUUACUUCUGUCUCGUUUGUCUGAAACCUCGUGUAACCUCCUCCCAUAUCAUUUCUACAUGUCUUGUCGAGUUAUAAACACAUGUUACAUGCAGAAGUAGACAGAUUUUGUGUCAAUAUUCAAAAAAUUGGUUGUACUGUUGUGAUGACUCAGCAGUUUUAAAGACAAUAAAUGUCAUUGCCAAAUGUUGUAC
RNAcentral lists this long non-coding RNA (2718 nucleotides) under Gouania willdenowi (blunt-snouted clingfish). Its description in RNAcentral is "lncRNA (ENSGWIG00000011022.1)". Lineage: Eukaryota; Metazoa; Chordata; Actinopteri; Blenniiformes; Gobiesocidae. The record is from RNAcentral.